RNAcentral lists this ribosomal RNA (993 nucleotides) under Candidatus Endobugula sertula (Bugula neritina bacterial symbiont). Its description in RNAcentral is "bacterial LSU rRNA". It matches the Rfam family "Bacterial large subunit ribosomal RNA", at positions 1938 to 2925 of the family's 2925-position model. The record is from RNAcentral. Lineage: Bacteria; Pseudomonadati; Pseudomonadota; Gammaproteobacteria; Cellvibrionales; Cellvibrionaceae.
UACUAUAACGGUCCUAAGGUAGCGAAAUUCCUUGUCGGGUAAGUUCCGACCUGCACGAAUGGCGUAACGAUGGCCACGCUGUCUCCACCCAAGACUCAGUGAAAUUGAAAUCGCUGUUAAGAUGCAGUGUAUCCGCGGCUAGACGGAAAGACCCCGUGAACCUUUACUACAGCUUCACAGUGGAUCUUGAUGUUGCUUGUGUAGGAUAGGUGGGAGGCUUUGAAGCGGUGACGCCAGUCAUUGUGGAGCCAACCUUGAAAUACCACCCUGGCAAUAUUGAGGUUCUAACUCUGGUCCCUUAUCGGGAUCGAGGACAUUGUGUGGUGGGUAGUUUGACUGGGGCGGUCUCCUCCCAAAGAGUAACGGAGGAGCACGAAGGUUGGCUAAGUACGGUCGGACAUCGUACGGUUAGUGUAAUGGCACAAGCCAGCUUGACUGCGAGACGUACAUGUCGAGCAGGUACGAAAGUAGGUCAUAGUGAUCCGGUGGUUCUGAAUGGAAGGGCCAUCGCUCAACGGAUAAAAGGUACUCCGGGGAUAACAGGCUGAUACCGCCCAAGAGUUCACAUCGACGGCGGUGUUUGGCACCUCGAUGUCGGCUCAUCACAUCCUGGGGCUGAAGCCGGUCCCAAGGGUAUGGCUGUUCGCCAUUUAAAGUGGUACGCGAGCUGGGUUUAGAACGUCGUGAGACAGUUCGGUCCCUAUCUGCCGUGGACGUUGGAAGUUUGAGAAGAGCUGCUCCUAGUACGAGAGGACCGGAGUGGACGAACCACUGGUGUUCGGGUUGUGUCGCCAGACGCAUUGCCCGGUAGCUAAGUUCGGACGGGAUAACCGCUGAAAGCAUCUAAGCGGGAAGCCCCCUUCAAGAUGAGACUUCCCUGGGAGCUAGACUCCCCAGAAGAGCCGUUGAAGACUACGACGUUGAUAGGCUGGGUGUGUAAGCGUUGUGAGGCGUUGAGCUAACCAGUACUAAUGACUCGAGAGGCUUGACCAU